GACGAACGCUGGCGGCGUGCUUAACACAUGCAAGUCGAGCGGUAAGGCCCUUUGGGGUACACGAGCGGCGAACGGGUGAGUAACACGUGGGUGACCUGCCCUCAGCUCUGGGAUAAGCCCGGGAAACUGGGUCUAAUACCGGAUAUGACCACAUGGUGCAUGUUGUGUGGUGGAAAGUCUUGUUCUUAAUUGGACUCUUCGGCUGGGGGAUGGGCCCGCGGCCUAUCAGCUUGNGGUGGGGUGAUGGCCUACCAAGGCGACGACGGGUAGCCGGCCUGAGAGGGCGACCGGCCACACUGGGACUGAGACACGGCCCAGACUCCUACGGGAGGCAGCAGUGGGGAAUAUUGCGCAAUGGGCGGAAGCCUGACGCAGCGACGCCGCGUGGGGGAUGACGGCCU
RNAcentral lists this ribosomal RNA (401 nucleotides) under uncultured bacterium. RNAcentral describes it as "bacterial SSU rRNA". It matches the Rfam family "Bacterial small subunit ribosomal RNA", at positions 28 to 417 of the family's 1533-position model. The record is from RNAcentral.